CCUACGGGAGGCUGCAGUGGGGAAUAUUGGACAAUGGGGGCAACCCUGAUCCAGCCAUGCCGCGUGUGUGAAGAAGGCCCUCGGGUUGUAAAGCACUUUCAGUGAGGAAGAACGCCUGGUGGUUAAUACCCAUCAGGAAAGACAUCACUCACAGAAGAAGCACCGGCUAACUCCGUGCCAGCAGCCGCGGUAAUACGGAGGGUGCGAGCGUUAAUCGGAAUUACUGGGCGUAAAGCGCGCGUAGGUGGCUUGAUAAGCCGGUUGUGAAAGCCCCGGGCUCAACCUGGGAACGGCAUCCGGAACUGUCAAGCUAGAGUGCAGGAGAGGAAGGUAGAAUUCCCGGUGUAGCGGUGAAAUGCGUAGAGAUCGGGAGGAAUACCAGUGGCGAAGGCGGCCUUCUGGACUGACACUGACACUGAGGUGCGAAAGCGUGGGUAGCAAACAGGAUUAGAUACCCUUAUAGUC
RNAcentral lists this ribosomal RNA (465 nucleotides) under Vreelandella stevensii. RNAcentral's name for it is "partial 16S ribosomal RNA". It matches the Rfam family "Bacterial small subunit ribosomal RNA", at positions 338 to 795 of the family's 1533-position model. The record is from RNAcentral. Lineage: Bacteria; Pseudomonadati; Pseudomonadota; Gammaproteobacteria; Oceanospirillales; Halomonadaceae.